Molecule: ribosomal RNA, 1305 nt
Filed under: uncultured bacterium
Lineage: Bacteria
Description: bacterial SSU rRNA
Rfam family: Bacterial small subunit ribosomal RNA
Source: RNAcentral
UUAGUGGCGCAAGGGUGAGUAACACGUGGGUAAUCUGCCUUUGAGACUGGGAUAACAACUAGAAAUGGUUGCUAAUACCGGAUGAAAGAUAAGAAGAUAAGUUUUCUUAUCGUAAAAGUGGCUUUCGGGCCACACUUAAAGAUGAGCCUGCGGCGUAUUAGCUAGUUGGUAAGGUAAAGGCUUACCAAGGCGACGAUGCGUAGCCGACCUGAGAGGGUGAUCGGCCACACUGGGACUGAGACACGGCCCAGACUCCUACGGGAGGCAGCAGUAGGGAAUAUUGCACAAUGGGCGAAAGCCUGAUGCAGCGACGCCGCGUGAGGGACGAAGGCCUUCGGGUUGUAAACCUCUUUCAGCAGGGAAGAAGCGAAAGUGACGGUACCUGCAGAAGAAGCGCCGGCUAACUACGUGCCAGCAGCCGCGGUAAUACGUAGGGCGCAAGCGUUAUCCGGAAUUAUUGGGCGUAAAGAGCUCGUAGGCGGUUUGUCGCGUCUGCUGUGAAAGCCCGGGGCUCAACCCCGGGUCUGCAGUGGGUACGGGCAGACUAGAGUGCAGUAGGGGAGACUGGAAUUCCUGGUGUAGCGGUGAAAUGCGCAGAUAUCAGGAGGAACACCGAUGGCGAAGGCAGGUCUCUGGGCUGUAACUGACGCUGAGGCGCGAAAGCGUGGGGAGCAAACAGGAUUAGAUACCCUGGUAGUCCAUGCCGUAAACGUUGGGCACUAGGUGUGGGGGACAUUCCACGUUUUCCGCGCCGUAGCUAACGCAUUAAGUGCCCCGCCUGGGGAGUACGGCCGCAAGGCUAAAACUCAAAGGAAUUGACGGGGGCCCGCACAAGCGGCGGAGCAUGCGGAUUAAUUCGAUGCAACGCGAAGAACCUUACCAAGGCUUGACAUGAACCGGAAAGGCCUGGAAACAGGUCCCCCACUUGUGGCCGGUUUACAGGUGGUGCAUGGUUGUCGUCAGCUCGUGUCGUGAGAUGUUGGGUUAAGUCCCGCAACGAGCGCAACCCUCGUUCUAUGUUGCCAGCGGGUUAUGCCGGGGACUCAUAGGAGACUGCCGGGGUCAACUCGGAGGAAGGUGGGGACGACGUCAAAUCAUCAUGCCCCUUAUGUCUUGGGCUUCACGCAUGCUACAAUGGCCGGUACAAAGGGUUGCGAUACUGUGAGGUGGAGCUAAUCCCAAAAAGCCGGUCUCAGUUCGGAUUGAGGUCUGCAACUCGACCUCAUGAAGUUGGAGUCGCUAGUAAUCGCAGAUCAGCAACGCUGCGGUGAAUACGUUCCCGGGCCUUGCACACACCGCCCGUCA